RNAcentral lists this transfer RNA (76 nucleotides) under Pseudomonas phage pf16. It matches the Rfam family "tRNA". Rfam says of the family: Transfer RNA (tRNA) molecules are approximately 80 nucleotides in length. Lineage: Duplodnaviria; Heunggongvirae; Uroviricota; Caudoviricetes. The record is from Rfam by way of RNAcentral.
AGCGAGAUAGAGGAGCUUGGUCGUCCUCGCUGGGCUCAUAACCCGGAGAUCGCAGGUUCAAAUCCUGCUCUCGCAA